AGAGAGAGAGAGAGAGAGAGAAUGAAAACCAUCUUCCCAUUUCACCAUAUUAAACCUUGCUUUGUAAAUGUUCUUUAAGCAUUGCAUUUGUCCAUUUUGUUUUUCCCAGAAUGACAUUGGAGACAGAGAAUUCUGGUGAAUAAGUGCAGCACCUUCCUUAAAGCAAGGCUGGUUUUCUCUGUACCGGGAGGGAAUGGAAUCGACACAUAUUUUGGUGAUCUAGGUAACUAAGGUUGGAGGAUCUACAUUUCACUCUUCUAUGUGGGCACAUUUUCCCCUACAACUAUCAGUCUCUCGGGCGUAUGAUGAAAAAUGUCUUCUGCAAGUGUUUGACCUCUACAGACCAAAAGCAAGUUUCCAUCUCUUCACUUUGAUCCAGUCAGCUCGUAGGGCAGAAGAGUUGACAGAGACUCAUCUCACUCCCAUAGAGGAUCCUGCUGGGUUCUUCUCUGUCACUCAGCACAAGUCCGCACCCAGAGCAAAGCAAUGACUCAUCCUUCUGCACUGGUCACAGCUGUGGAACUGAAACUGGGUCUUAAAAUGCAUAGUUCUGAACCAUCUUGUAAACUGUUGUUUCUUCCCAUGCAGAGAAGGUUAAAACGCUAUGGAGGAAGUGGAUUUUAUUCUUUCAGAGGAUGUGUUUCUGCUGCCUACCAGAGACCCUAAGAAUGCAGUGAUAUUGGGACUGUUUAAUACUACUAGGUGCGAAGUUGAUAGUCAACAAAAGACUACGAAACAAAAAUUGUGUCACUGCAGCAGCUGUCAUGGUGCACAUGUCUCUGACACUGACCCCAUCAUCACUCCCAUCCUCUGUCCUUUCAAUAUGUUCAGAGGCCAUGCUAUAUGUGUCUGUCACAUGUCAAAUAUCUGAGAAGCCUUUAAUGGUCCAUAUGCACAUGAAGAAGGCCCUGAAUAUCACUGGUCACUCUGUGAAGGAGAAGUUCUAUGGAGGCAUUGUGCUGAAGGAAUCACAAUUUACAACCAAGAAAUGGAGUGGAUGGAGGAAGUCAUUCUAGAGGAACUUCAGAUACUCAAGCAACAGCUCUACAUUGGAUCACCCUCUGCAGUGGCUCAGGUCAGAUUCCAUCCUUGUGACGUGUAUGGCAGUGCUUGUGCCGACUGCUGCCUGGCUCGAGACCCUUACUGUGCCUGGGAUGGCAUAUCCUGCUCCAGGUACUACCCAACAGGUGCACAAGCAAAGAGGUAA
Mesocricetus auratus (golden hamster) is the source of this 1207-nucleotide long non-coding RNA. RefSeq lists it as uncharacterized. NCBI's taxonomy places the organism in Eukaryota, Metazoa, Chordata, Mammalia, Rodentia, Cricetidae. The transcript is spliced from 4 exons. The record is from RefSeq and is a predicted model, not a curated record.